UCGAUGGAGAGUUUGAUUCCUGGCUCAGGACGAACGCUGGCGGCGUGCUUAACACAUGCAAGUCGAACGGUUUAUAAGGGCUUGCCC
RNAcentral lists this non-coding RNA (87 nucleotides) under Acidithrix ferrooxidans. Its description in RNAcentral is "Bacterial small subunit ribosomal RNA". It matches the Rfam family "Bacterial small subunit ribosomal RNA", at positions 1 to 85 of the family's 1533-position model. The record is from Rfam by way of RNAcentral. Lineage: Bacteria; Bacillati; Actinomycetota; Acidimicrobiia; Acidimicrobiales; Acidimicrobiaceae.